Molecule: non-coding RNA, 81 nt
Organism: Gymnopus androsaceus JB14
Lineage: Eukaryota; Fungi; Basidiomycota; Agaricomycetes; Agaricales; Omphalotaceae
Source: the annotation of a GenBank genome assembly
GACCCCUUAGCUCAGUGGUAGAGCGUGUGAUUCCAGCACUUCGAUUCCACAAGGUCGUCCGUUCAAUCCGGGCAGGGGUCA